This 71-nucleotide transfer RNA is filed under the name Ictidomys tridecemlineatus (thirteen-lined ground squirrel). Its description in RNAcentral is "Spermophilus tridecemlineatus (thirteen-lined ground squirrel) tRNA". It matches the Rfam family "tRNA". From Rfam's summary of the family: Transfer RNA (tRNA) molecules are approximately 80 nucleotides in length. Their secondary structure includes four short double-helical elements and three loops (D, anti-codon, and T loops). Further hydrogen bonds mediate the characteristic L-shaped molecular structure. tRNAs have two regions of fundamental functional importance: the anti-codon, which is responsible for specific mRNA codon recognition, and the 3' end, to which the tRNAs corresponding amino acid is attached (by aminoacyl-tRNA synthetases). tRNAs cope with the degeneracy of the genetic code in two manners: having more than one tRNA (with a specific anti-codon) for a particular amino acid; and 'wobble' base-pairing, i.e. permitting non-standard base-pairing at the 3rd anti-codon position. Lineage: Eukaryota; Metazoa; Chordata; Mammalia; Rodentia; Sciuridae. The record is from Rfam by way of RNAcentral.
GAUGAUGUAGCUCAGUAGUAGAGCACUUGGCUGGCAUGCAUGAGGCCCUGAGUUCAAUUCCCAGCACCACA